GACGAACGCUGGCGGCGUGCCUAAUACAUGCAAGUUGAGCGCUGAAGGUUGGUACUUGUACCAACUGGAUGAGCAGCGAACGGGUGAGUAACGCGUGGGGAAUCUGCCAUUGAGCGGGGGACAACAUUUGGAAACGAAUGCUAAUACCGCAUAAAAACUUUAAACACAAGUUUUAAGUUUGAAAGAUGCAAUUGCAUCACUCAAAGAUGAUCCCGCGUUGUAUUAGCUAGUUGGUGAGGUAAAGGCUCACCAAGGCGAUGAUACAUAGCCGACCUGAGAGGGUGAUCGGCCACAUUGGGACUGAGACACGGCCCAAACUCCUACGGGAGGCAGCAGUAGGGAAUCUUCGGCAAUGGACGAAAGUCUGACCGAGCAACGCCGCGUGAGUGAAGAAGGUUUUCGGAUCGUAAAACUCUGUUGGUAGAGAAGAACGUUGGUGAGAGUGGAAAGCUCAUCAAGUGACGGUAACUACCCAGAAAGGGACGGCUAACUACGUG
RNAcentral lists this ribosomal RNA (497 nucleotides) under uncultured bacterium. Its description in RNAcentral is "partial 16S ribosomal RNA". It matches the Rfam family "Bacterial small subunit ribosomal RNA", at positions 28 to 507 of the family's 1533-position model. The record is from RNAcentral.